This 45-nucleotide non-coding RNA is filed under the name Schistosoma margrebowiei. The record is from RNAcentral. Lineage: Eukaryota; Metazoa; Platyhelminthes; Trematoda; Strigeidida; Schistosomatidae.
AUUCAGUUGAUGAAUCUCAAAUAGGAUGAAAUGUACGUUCUGGAU